CACCAUCUCUGCCACCCUCUCGAUCAUGAUCUUCGCCAUCCCCUCUGUCUCCCCAUCGUCUGCCGGCUAAAUCUCCUCUAAGCGCCGCUACUGUAUCCUGAAGGUCGACAACGGAAGACUGUAGUAUUCCAACAUCAUGGGAUAGAUCGUCAACCCUCCCUAUCAACUCUCGUCCCAUAUCGUCGACCCUCCCUGUCAGAUAGUCGACCUUCCCUGCCAGAUCGUCGACCCUCCCUGUCAACUCUCGUC
Molecule: long non-coding RNA, 249 nt
Filed under: Olea europaea (common olive)
Lineage: Eukaryota; Viridiplantae; Streptophyta; Magnoliopsida; Lamiales; Oleaceae
Description: long non-coding RNA (OEUR_LNC014612)
Source: RNAcentral